GUUCCUGUAGCUCAAUGAACAGCGCGUUGGACUUCUAAUUCAAAGGUUCGAAUCCCAACUGGGAUA
This is a non-coding RNA of Trichonephila inaurata madagascariensis, 66 nucleotides long. The record is from the annotation of a GenBank genome assembly. Lineage: Eukaryota; Metazoa; Arthropoda; Arachnida; Araneae; Nephilidae.